This 755-nucleotide long non-coding RNA is filed under the name Lepisosteus oculatus (spotted gar). RNAcentral describes it as "lncRNA (ENSLOCG00000022557.1)". Lineage: Eukaryota; Metazoa; Chordata; Actinopteri; Semionotiformes; Lepisosteidae. The record is from RNAcentral.
GCCGGAGCAGCGGGAAGGAUGACGAUGGGGGACAGCCGUACCGGAAGUUGUUGGUAUUUAUCGCUACGAAAAAUGAAUGGAUUCGGUUGAUGAUGUUGCGUUGCAUUCUCAAGCUUUAAGGAGCUCAAGACUGAUUGUCAUGAGAGACGAAAAACGCUUCAGGUUUCGGUAGACGGGGGGGGCCGAGGCGACCACGGUGAUGAAGAUGAAGCUGAGGCUGAAGAACGUGUUUGCCAUGUACUUCCUGGUGUCUCUCCUGGGCCUGAUGUACACCCUCAUCCAGCUGGGUCAGCACUGCGACUGCACUGAGCACGCCCAGACGAGGGACCGGACCAUCUCCAGGCUGCAGGGGGAGCUAAAGAACAUGCAGGCCAGACUGAAGACGGAGGAGCCACCCAAACCCCCAUUGCCAACCAUCUACGUCAUCACUCCCACCUACGCCAGGUAGCGUGACCUCGCCCCCACACGCAGGCCUGUCAGCUUUCCCGCCCGGGACACAGGCAGCCCCGUGAGCUCAUGAGACAGACGGUCCCCUCUCUGUCCCCUCUCUGCCCUAGCCCAGUUCAGUUCAGCUCAAUUCAAGGUGCUUUAUUGGCAUGACGGAAGAGUAUAAUCAGUGUUGCCAAAGCAAAACAAAUACUGUCAACAUAAAACACAAACUCUACAGACAUUUACAAUAAAGACACAAUCGUAAAGUAUUUACAUAUAGACAUAUUGAGCAUUACUGGGAGACAGACUCACUCUUAACUAACCUU